CAAAGACCAAGUUAAUUAGCUGAAGGCUGACCUCAGAGGAUACUCAUUAGGCCAAGUGUUUCCAACUGCACAUUGCAAAGUGAUGGAAAUGGACGCCUGAACACCCGAGUUCUGCACUCCUCCGGGUGUUCACCCUCAGCAGGCUCCUCAAAAAUGCAACUGUAGCGGAUAUAACCUCUCAUUUAGGGGUUGUUAUAAACCUUUCUCCAGUCUCAGGCCACAGAUGGUCUACUGAGUUCCACCGAGAAGAAAAAUUUCUGCAGCGCUUGCUCUCCUGGCCCUCAGGUGAAUGAACAUGGUCCAGUAGGCUCACACCACCCUGCUGACCUUGGGCCUUCAUUGCGAGCCACGUGACGCAUGUUUAGGGUGCCUAAGACAUGUAAUGCCUCAGCUUGGGCUAAGGCGGGAGCCUCUCUGCAGGUCUCCAGUGUGCUGCCCAGGAAUGCUCAUCACCAUCUCAGAAUCCAAAGUGGACAUAUUUAUAGUGUCUCCUGACUUUGAAAGGAGUUAAGAGCAGAGAGCAGAAAAUAGUUGGUCUGAAUGGGAAAUGAAAAUCAAAUAUUCUCUUAUUCUAAAGGGCACUGUGAACAAGAAUUAAUAAUGUAAGAUGCAAGACAUGCUAUAUAGCACUCUGAAAAAAUAUGAUGCCUACGUAUUUAGUUUAAGGCAAAAUGGCCUCGAACCCAGCCCCGGAGAGACAGCAGUGAACAGAACAGCAACCCCAGCCCCAGGGAGUUUACCUUCUCUGAAGGGAGACAGGAAAUAACAGAUAAGGAUCUCCAGAGACUCUGCUUCUGUGAGGCCACCUAAACUAUGAUCCCAUAAAAUUAAAAUGAUGAGAUGGAAAACCACAGAAAGCACCACACACCUGGCAGCUGAGCGGAACUUUGUGUUGCCAAAGGGGCCCAGGCCUGGGCUUCUGCCAUGUGAUUCCCUGCCCACCUUCUACCCAGAGGGGACUGCUAAUUUUUAAAAAUAGGUUUAAUACAGUCGUACACUCUAAUGUACUCUGUACUAUCUUCUUCCUGUGGGUGCACUUUUCAACUGUUACAAGAAGUUCAGUCCCUUGUGAAGCAUGAGUUUGUAAAGAUUUAUAUCAGUUUUGUUGUCUCUGUUAAUUUUAACCAAGUGGUGUAUCCUGAUAUAUGAUAUGAAUUUAGAGUUAGUAGAUCUCAUUUCUGGAGAAGGAAAUGGCAACCCACUCCAGUGUUCUUGCCUGGAGAAUCCCAGGGAUGGGGGAGCCUGGUGGGCUGCCGUCUAUGGGGUCGCACAGAGUCAGACACGACUGAAGUGACUUAGCAGCAGCAGCAGCAGCAGAUCUCGUUUCAACACUCUAGAGUUUGGAAAGUGUCCCAGAAGCCAGUAAGAAACCAAGCUUCUGCAGAACUGUGGGCAGGUGCUUUCACCUCUGUUUUCUCAUCUGUCACCAGGGCACUACUAUGGCCAUACAAGUCUGUAUACAAGUGUCAUACAAUUUCAAGGAGACUGUUCACAUCGUAACUGAACAACAAAGCGGUCUGUCUGUAACAGGAAGAUAGGAUGCAUCAUCUCAGUCACUCAGUAGUGUCUGACUCUUUGUGACCCCAUGGACUGUAUCCAACCAGGCUCCUCUGUCCAUGGGAUUCUUCAGGCAAGAAUACUGGACUGGGUUGCCAUCGGGCAUCUGUAUUAUGCAUAACCUGGAUCUGUCCAAUGGCAGAGAUGCUUGCUCAACCAUGAAGAUCAAAUUUUCUCCUCCUGGUGCCAGCCCUGCCACUCCUUAAAAGAUUGCAGCCCACCAGGCUCCUCUGUCCAUGGGAUUCUCCAGGCAAGAAUACUGGAAUGGUUGCCAUGCCCUCCUCCAGGAGGUAUUCCUGACCCAGGGAUCAGACCCACGUCUCAUAUCUCCUGCAUUGGCAGGGCAAGAACCUUGACUCUUUAUGGACAUGUCCUAAAUGCCUAGCACAAUGGCUCAUCUAUAACAGACUGUUGAUGGUGUUACUGAAUUAUGUCCUGCUGAUUUUGGAAUCUUGAUCAUUGAUGUGGCUAAUAUAUCAAUAAAAGUGGGGAAAAUGUUAGUCACUCAGUUGUGUCUGACUCUGUGACCCCAUGGACUGUAGCCCACCAGGCUUCUCUGUCUGUGGAAGUCUCCAGGCAAGAAUACUGGAGUGGACUGACAUUCCCUCCUCCAGAGGAUCGUCCCCACCCAGGGACUGAACCUGGGUUAUAACUAAUUAAAUGUGGCUAAUUAUAUCAUUAAUUAAUGUGGCUAAAAUAUAUCAUUAAAUGGUAUAAUUUUCUAUAAUAUACAGUAAUGGUGCUUACUAUAUGACUUUUGUGUUUAUAUCCAUUUAUAAUAUAUCAAGGCAUAACUCCAGGUUCUUUGAAGGACACUGCUUAAUAAAGAGCAGUGAAAACUGAGGAGUUGAUGGAAAUUCUGACAUUACUUCCACCUUCUUUCCCCUACCACUGCUCUUACCAUCCACAAGAAAUUGUUCAUGACCUCAAUUUGGAGUCAUCUUUUACUCAGGAAUAUCGCAUCUGUAACAGGUAUUUAGUGCUUUAAGAUGGCUAAAAUUGCUUUGACACUCCUCCCACUAAGAAGUUGUGUCCAUGUCCUUGUUUCCUAGAGUCGGGAUAUACUCUGUGACUCUUUUAACCGAAACAGAAUAGCAGAAGUGAGUUGUGCCAGUUUCUGAGACAAGGCUGUAAAAGACUGGCCGCUUUUACACCCUGUCUCUUGGAGCGUAUCUUGAAUCUUCACCUCAGGGAGGAGUUAGCUGCUGUGCGUGAAGCCUGACUAUACUGACACAGCCAUGGGUGAAGACUACGUGCUAAGUCUUUGCUGGCCCAGCCAUCCCAACCUGGGCACCAAGACCAGUAGUCAAGGAGCCAUGUUAGGCCUCCUAAUCCCAGCAAACAUGCCAAGAAGAAAAAUGAAGAUCCCAGACAUACGGCCUCAGUCUAGCCAUCCCAGCAGCUCCCAGCUAUUCAAGCAACCCCAGCUGUGGCCACAAACGUCAUGUAUCAGACUCUCAAGCUGUCCCUGCUGUGCUGGCUCUAAUCCCUGACCCACAGAAUCAUAGGCAUCAUGGACAUAGUAAGAGUUUCACAGGUUUCCCUGGUGACUCAGUUGGUAGAGUCUGCCUGCAGCGCGGGAGACCUGGCUUCAAUCACUGGGUCGGGAAGAUCCCCUGGAGAAGGAAAUGGCAACCCACUCCAGCAUUCUUGUCUGGAGAAUUCCCCAUACAGAGGAGUCUGGUGGGCUAUAGUUCAUGGGGUCACAAAGAGUCAGACACAAUAUGUGGGAUCUUAAGUUCCCCAAUCAGGGCUCAAACUCACACCCCCUGUACAAGAAGUGCUGAGCCUUAACCACUGGACCACCAGAGAAGUUCCGUGUUUGUUUUAAAUAAAUACAUCAUUGGAGUGCUCAUACAUUUCAUUUUUGGAUCAAAUGGAAUUUUAAAUUUAGAAGGACUUUUCCAAUGAGUCGUCCGUUCACAUCAGGUGACCAAAAUACUGGAGCUUCAACUUCAGCAUCAGUCCUUCCAGUGAACAUUCAGGAUUCAUAUCCCUUAAGAUUGACUGGUUUGAUCUUGCUGUCCAAGGGACACUCAGGAGUCCUUUCCAGCACCACGGUUUGAUGGCAUCAAUUCUUUGGCAUUCUGCCUUCUUUAUGGUCCAGCUCUCAAAACUGUACGUGGCAGCUGGGAAGACCAUAGCCUUGAAUAUACAGACCUUUGUCGGCAAAGUAACAUCUCUGUUUUUCAACACACUGCCUAGAUUUGUCAUCACUUUCCUGCCAAGAGGCAAUCAUCUUCUGAUUUCAUGGCUGCAGUCACCAUCCACAGUGAUUUUGGAGCCCAAGAAGAGGAAAUCUGUCACUGCUUCCACCUUUUCCCCUUCUAUUUGCCAUGCAGUAAUGGGGCCGGAUGUCAUGAUCUUAGUUUUUUUUAAUAUUUAGUUUUAAGCUGGCUCUUUCACUCUCCUCCUUCACCCUCAUCAAGAGGCUAUUUAGUACUUCUUUGCUUUCUGCCAUUAGAGUGGGAUCAUCUGCAUAUCUAAGGUUGUUGAUGUUUUUCCCGCCUAUCUUGAUUCCAGCUUGAAACUUGUCCAGCCUGGUAUGUCUCGUGAUGUGCUCAGCAUAUAGGUUAAACAAACAGGGUGACAGCAGACAGCCCUGUCAUACUCCUUUCUCGAUCUUGAACCAAUCAGUUGUUCCAUACGGGGUUCUAACUGUUGUUCCUUGACCUGCAUACAGGUUUCUCAGGAGACAGGUAAGAUGGUCUGGUAUUCCCAUCACUCUAAGAGUCAUGAUGCACGUAGUCAAAGGCUUUAGCGUAGUCGAUAAAACAAAGAUAGAUGUUUUUCAGAAAUUCCCUUGCUUUCUCUAUAAUCCAGCGAAUGUUGGCAAUUUGAUCUCUAGUUCCUCUUCCUUUUCUAAACCCAGGUUGGACAUCUUGAUUCAUGUCAUGCUGAAGCCUAGCAUGGAAAAUUUUAAGCAUGACUUUUCUAGCAUGGAGAUGUGUGCAAUUGUCCGAUGGCUAGCACAUUCUUUGGUACUACCCUUCUUGGGAAUUGGGGUGAAGGUUGGCCUUUUCCAGUCCUGUGACCACUGCUGGGUCUUCCAGAUUUGCUGACAUAAUGAACGUAAAACCUUGAUGGCAUCAUCCUUUAGGAAUUUGAAUAGUUCUGCUGGAAUUUCAUCACAUCUACUAGCUUUAUUAACAGCAGUACUUCUUAAGGCCCACUUGACUUCACACUCCAGAAUGUCAAAAGAGAUACUUCCUAU
Long non-coding RNA from Bos taurus (domestic cattle), 4771 nucleotides. The record is from Ensembl. Lineage: Eukaryota; Metazoa; Chordata; Mammalia; Artiodactyla; Bovidae.